This 301-nucleotide ribosomal RNA is filed under the name uncultured bacterium. RNAcentral describes it as "partial 16S ribosomal RNA". It matches the Rfam family "Bacterial small subunit ribosomal RNA", at positions 509 to 809 of the family's 1533-position model. The record is from RNAcentral.
CAGUCGCCGCGGUAACACGUAAGGUGCGAGCGUUGUUCGGAAUUAUUGGGCGUAAAGGGCAUGUAGGCGGAAAUGCAAGCUUGAUGUGAAAUACUGCAGCUUAACUGCGGAACAGCAUUGAGAACUGCGUAUCUUGAAUUACUGAAGGGUAACCGGAAUUCCACGUGUAGGGGUGAAAUCUGUAGAUAUGUGGAAGAACACCAAUGGCGAAGGCAGGUUACCGGCAGAUAAUUGACGCUGAGGUGCGAAAGUGCGGGGAGCGAACAGGAUUAGAUACCCCCGUAGUCCCUGUCUCUUAUGC